RNAcentral lists this ribosomal RNA (253 nucleotides) under uncultured bacterium. RNAcentral's name for it is "partial 16S ribosomal RNA". It matches the Rfam family "Bacterial small subunit ribosomal RNA", at positions 524 to 776 of the family's 1533-position model. The record is from RNAcentral.
GACGAACCGUGCGAACGUUGUUCGGAAUCACUGGGCUUAAAGGGCGCGUAGGCGGACGACCAAGUCGGGGGUGAAAUCUUUCGGCUCAACCGGAAAAUAGCCUUCGAUACUGGCCGUCUAGAGGGAGGUAGGGGCGUGUGGAACUUCCGGUGGAGCGGUGAAAUGCGUUGAUAUCGGAAGGAACACCGGUGGCGAAGGCGGGUCUCUGGGCAAUUCCUGACGCUGAGGCGCGAAAGCGUGGGGAGCAAACGGG